CAGAUGCACGCGCACGGACGGCCCAAAUUUAAUCCAAAUUAAAUCGCGAUCAAACGGCCCAGAUUAAAUCAAGAUGGACGGCUGUGAUUAAAAGGCAAAUGGUAUAAAUAAACCCCCCACACCUGACGACAAAAACCCUAGCUGCCAGCCCUCACCGGAGAAGACGAACCAGACGCCGGAGGAGCCGGCCGCCGCCACCCGCCGCCGCACCGGGGAGUUUUUCGACCGCCGAUCGAGGUAAAUUUCAUACCCCCGGCUCGUUUUUCAAUGCUGAGUUCUCCUGUGGCCAAAUUGGAGCCAAACUCCCGGCUAAACAGCUGGAAAACACGGCCGAAACCCAGCGGCGCCGCUGCGCCCCUCCUUGAUUUUUGCCUCUGAUGAGGCCCUUCCCGGCCUCCGUUUGAUACAAUUUUUAUAUCACCGUGAUCACUAUUCUUU
Molecule: long non-coding RNA, 438 nt
Filed under: Carica papaya (papaya)
Lineage: Eukaryota; Viridiplantae; Streptophyta; Magnoliopsida; Brassicales; Caricaceae
Description: long non-coding RNA (CPAP_LNC016362)
Source: RNAcentral